CGCGUAGGUGGUCUGAUAAGUAGGGGGUGAAAUCUCACGGCUUAACCGGGAGGCUGCCUUCUAGACUGUCAGACUUGAGCAUGGUAGAGGCAGAUGGAAUUCCCGGUGUAGCGGUGGAAUGCGUAGAGAUCGGGAAGAACACCAGUGGCGAAGGCGGUCUGCUGGGCCAUAGCUGACACUGAGGCGCGACAGCGUGGGGAGCAAACA
RNAcentral lists this ribosomal RNA (207 nucleotides) under uncultured bacterium. RNAcentral describes it as "partial 16S ribosomal RNA". It matches the Rfam family "Bacterial small subunit ribosomal RNA", at positions 568 to 774 of the family's 1533-position model. The record is from RNAcentral.